RNAcentral lists this unclassified non-coding RNA (271 nucleotides) under Hevea brasiliensis (rubber tree). Lineage: Eukaryota; Viridiplantae; Streptophyta; Magnoliopsida; Malpighiales; Euphorbiaceae. The record is from RNAcentral.
GGAAAAGGAAAAUAUAGUUUUGAAUCUGAGGUAUUCACAUUGAAAGUUUAUGAAAUGAAGUAAUUUUACAUGGGCAGUUUAUUAUCAUAGAGUGGCUUUUACGCUUAUAAGAUGAGGUUAUCUUUGAAAACUACUAGUUACAGCUUUAAAGUUUGCAUCUUUUAUAGAUAGCCCAUUAAUGGUUAACCAUUCAUUAAUUCUGCUUCUACUGGGAGCUAUACCUGACUUGUUCUUGCUUCUUGUUUUAGUUGAACGUAAACUUAAUGUUCUU